UACAGAGGUCCCAAGCGUUGUUCGGAUUUACUGGGCGUAAAGGGUGCGUAGGUGGCGGGGUAAGUUUGAUGUGAAAUCUCCGAGCUCAACUCGGAAACGGCAUUGAAUACUAUUUCGCUCGAGGGUCGGAGGGGAGACUGGAAUUCUCGGUGUAGCAGUGAAAUGCGUAGAUAUCGAGAGGAACACCAGUGGCGAAGGCGAGUCUCUGGACGACUCCUGACACUGAGGCACGAAAGCUAGGGGAGCAAACAGG
RNAcentral lists this ribosomal RNA (253 nucleotides) under uncultured bacterium. RNAcentral describes it as "partial 16S ribosomal RNA". It matches the Rfam family "Bacterial small subunit ribosomal RNA", at positions 524 to 776 of the family's 1533-position model. The record is from RNAcentral.